AUAAGUUUUGGUGGUAUAUACCUCUAUUGUACACCAGCUUUAGAAUUACCAGGUUUGGGAUUACAAAGACAUAAACCCAAACUAUUUCAGCCAUUAACACUCUACAAAAGUGACAUUCAGCUUCCCUUGGUGACAAUACUUUAAUUUAUUACAGUUGUCUCCUGCCAAAUUCUGGCCAAUGUACUAUUUCUCCUUGUCACAGCCAGCUGGCAUCCUGUUCAGCAGUUACAAUGUCAUAAAAGUGACUUAUGACAUUGUAAUUACACUAAUUUGCUUUUAUGAUCGUGGGACCAUCACAAUGGCCAAAACCUACCUUUUAACCCACCCCAACCCCCACCCCAAUAAAGAAAUCUCUGAGAUACUGAGCUGUGGGGGGAUGAGUGAUGAUACAACUAGUCACCUUCUGAUAAUGGAGUAGACACACUAAGAGCAACUCAGGUUGCUGGGACUACUUGGCUUUAAAAAACAGGAGGGUUUUAUCAUAGCUACAUCUCCCAGUGUAGGGUCUCAGCCAACCAUGUGAUGCAGAUUAGGAUGAAAAUGGCAUGAUUAAAGAUGGUCAAUGAACUGCCAGAUUCACAAGGAAUUAAGCCGAUUUCCUCCCAAAAUGAAUAAAUUGUCCAACACUAGGAACUACACUGCAUUUUAAUAA
Molecule: long non-coding RNA, 652 nt
Organism: Anolis carolinensis (green anole)
Lineage: Eukaryota; Metazoa; Chordata; Lepidosauria; Squamata; Anolidae
Exons: 2
Source: RefSeq, a predicted model, not a curated record